Molecule: long non-coding RNA, 1459 nt
Organism: Drosophila virilis
Lineage: Eukaryota; Metazoa; Arthropoda; Insecta; Diptera; Drosophilidae
Source: RefSeq, a predicted model, not a curated record
CUGUUGUUUCGGUUGCUUUGUCGUUGACAAAUACAUUCAAAUGAAUGUGACUCGCAUAGAUUUGCUGAAAUGGACAUGAAAAUGAGAAAUGCGUUCAACGAACCAGCAAAGCAGCUGAAGAUGCCCUCAGCUAACACAAAGACGCUGGUCGAACAUGUAUGGAGCUACAUGUGUGUGUGUGUGUGUGGGUGUCUCAGUUGUGUUAGGUGUGUGUGCUAAGAAGAAACAAGUAUUGCUCAUAUGGCAGAAGCUUCAACUGCAGCUUCAGUUACGCAUUCAAAACUCAUCAUCGUCAUCAACAACAUACGCAACACCAGCAGCAGCAGGAGAUUGUGAUGUGGCAACAGCCGUCAGCCCGCAACUGCAGCUCUGGCAGUGACAGUCGGUGGCACAUUUUAUUGUUUUAUUAGAACAGUUGGAUCAAGAGUGGCGGCGACGCUAGCUCAGACACAAUCAUACGGCUGACUAAUGCACGACUAAUGCGCAAUGUUCCGUAUACGUAAUAAUAUGCUUCAUGUAGCACUCACCAGGCACAAAUACGUCGCUGAGAUAGUCAGUUCUGAGAAAUUGUUAUAGAAUAGUCGCUUACCCUUUUAGACAAAUUGUUUGGAUUAUUGACUGGCCAUGAGCCAUUAACUAAUCAAAAACUGCAAUAAUACAGAUUGCUAUCUAUUAUUGUAUAAAUUGAAUUUUCGGCAGUCGCACGUAAUGCCAUCACAGAAUUUUUGUUAUUUUAAUUUAUGGCUUAAUCUAAAACAUAAGUUAAUCAAAUUACAUAUUAAAUUUGCAUAGCUUAAAUGCCAGUUGUGUGCGAACUGAGUGCCCAUUCUUAGAGCUCUAUAGUUGCAUCUCUGGAGGUUUAUUAUAUAUAAGUAUUUGACAUUGCUUACUAACUUUGGAGUUUCGUCGAGCUAUGCAACAACCUAAUCGCUGUUGCUCACUUCGAAACCAAACGAGGGAGUUGCAAAUACCCGACUGGGAGACACCGUUUAGCCAGGCUCAAGUCUCAACUGAAUAACAGUAUAUUUGCAUUCACAUAUGUAUUUAAAAUAAUUAGAUUAUAAAAAAAAUAAUGCUGCAUAUGGUAGCAAGGAACUUGCGUAUAAACAGUUUAAGUUAAACGCAAAAAAAAAAAGUCGAUGCAUCAAAGGAUCUCAGAUGCUUUCCCUUUAAACGCCUUUUUAGCCAUUUUAUGAGCACAGGGUAUAAAAACCUGAAAAAGAAUGUCUGAAUGAAGACCAUUGCAUUGUUAUAACGCAACAAACGUGUGCGUGGGCGUGUACGGUCGUCCGAAUAAUGAAUUUAAUGAACCAUUAAGAUGCUCGCCCAGUGAUAAAUUUCGAUGCGGCGCAUAAAUUAAAUGGCACCCGGACUGUAGCCCAUAGCUUUAGUAACUGUGAUUGCAUCGCCUGAACAAAUAUUUUUUAUAUAAAAAACACACACAUGGAAUACUUUUUAU